UGAGUAAGACAGGCAAUCGCGGACCGUACGCGGUCCGAGGAAAGUCCGAACUCCAUAGAGCGGAAUGCUGGCUAACGGCCAGUGGGGGUGACCUCAAGGAAAGUGCCACAGAAACGGUACCGCCCGCCAGCAAUGACGGGUAAGGGUGAAAUGGCGGGGUAAGAGCCCACCGGCAGCCGGGCGACCGGCUGGCCGGGUAAACCCCAUUCGGAGCAAGACCGAACAGAGGGAGUGGCAGACGCGUCCCCCACGUGUCUGUUCGCAGGUUGCUCGCCUGUUAACCUUCGGGUUGGUCGCUUGAGGCGGCGGGUAACCGCUGUCCCAGAUAGAUGAUUGCCCCCCACGCGCCCGCAAGAGUGCGCGGGGACAGAAUUCGGCUUACGGCUUGCUCGCACC
This 396-nucleotide RNase P RNA is filed under the name Chloroflexota bacterium. RNAcentral describes it as "RNase P RNA component class A". It matches the Rfam family "Bacterial RNase P class A". Rfam says of the family: Ribonuclease P (RNase P) is a ubiquitous endoribonuclease, found in archaea, bacteria and eukarya as well as chloroplasts and mitochondria. The record is from RNAcentral. Lineage: Bacteria; Bacillati; Chloroflexota.